AAGGUUUUAAGUUAAAGUAAACUAAUAGCCUUCAAAGCUAUCAAUAAAGGAGGUUCUUUAAGCCUUA
This 67-nucleotide transfer RNA is filed under the name Paragnetina indentata. RNAcentral describes it as "tRNA-Trp". It matches the Rfam family "tRNA". From Rfam's summary of the family: Transfer RNA (tRNA) molecules are approximately 80 nucleotides in length. Their secondary structure includes four short double-helical elements and three loops (D, anti-codon, and T loops). Further hydrogen bonds mediate the characteristic L-shaped molecular structure. tRNAs have two regions of fundamental functional importance: the anti-codon, which is responsible for specific mRNA codon recognition, and the 3' end, to which the tRNAs corresponding amino acid is attached (by aminoacyl-tRNA synthetases). tRNAs cope with the degeneracy of the genetic code in two manners: having more than one tRNA (with a specific anti-codon) for a particular amino acid; and 'wobble' base-pairing, i.e. permitting non-standard base-pairing at the 3rd anti-codon position. Lineage: Eukaryota; Metazoa; Arthropoda; Insecta; Plecoptera; Perlidae. The record is from RNAcentral.